GGUGUCGUGGUGUAGUUGGUUAUCACGUCAGCCUAACACACUGAAGGUCUCCGGUUCAAGUCCGGGCGACGCCA
Molecule: transfer RNA, 74 nt
Filed under: Vitis vinifera (wine grape)
Lineage: Eukaryota; Viridiplantae; Streptophyta; Magnoliopsida; Vitales; Vitaceae
Description: tRNA-Val (AAC) (tRNA-Val-AAC-3-1)
Rfam family: tRNA
About the family: Transfer RNA (tRNA) molecules are approximately 80 nucleotides in length. Their secondary structure includes four short double-helical elements and three loops (D, anti-codon, and T loops). Further hydrogen bonds mediate the characteristic L-shaped molecular structure. tRNAs have two regions of fundamental functional importance: the anti-codon, which is responsible for specific mRNA codon recognition, and the 3' end, to which the tRNAs corresponding amino acid is attached (by aminoacyl-tRNA synthetases). tRNAs cope with the degeneracy of the genetic code in two manners: having more than one tRNA (with a specific anti-codon) for a particular amino acid; and 'wobble' base-pairing, i.e. permitting non-standard base-pairing at the 3rd anti-codon position.
Source: Rfam by way of RNAcentral